UACGUAGGGUGCAAGCGUUAAUCGGAAUUACUGGGCGUAAAGCGUGCGCAGGCGGUGAUGUAAGACAGAUGUGAAAUCCCCGGGCUUAACCUGGGAACUGCAUUUGUGACUGCAUCGCUGGAGUGCGGCAGAGGGGGAUGGAAUUCCGCGUGUAGCAGUGAAAUGCGUAGAUAUGCGGAGGAACACCGAUGGCGAAGGCAAUCCCCUGGGCCUGCACUAACGCUCAUGCACGAAAGCGUGGGGAGCAAACAGG
Molecule: ribosomal RNA, 253 nt
Filed under: uncultured bacterium
Lineage: Bacteria
Description: partial 16S ribosomal RNA
Rfam family: Bacterial small subunit ribosomal RNA
Source: RNAcentral